UACGAAGGGUGCAAGCGUUACUCGGAAUUACUGGGCGUAAAGCGUGCGUAGGUGGUUUGUUAAGUCUGAUGUGAAAGCCCUGGGCUCAACCUGGGAAUUGCAUUGGAUACUGGCAGGCUAGAGUGCGGUAGAGGGUAGUGGAAUUCCCGGUGUAGCGGUGAAAUGCGUAGAUAUCGGGAGGAACAUCAGUGGCGAAGGCGACUAUCUGGACCAAUACUGACGCUGAGGUGCGAAAGCGUGGGGAGCAAACAGG
RNAcentral lists this ribosomal RNA (253 nucleotides) under uncultured bacterium. RNAcentral describes it as "partial 16S ribosomal RNA". It matches the Rfam family "Bacterial small subunit ribosomal RNA", at positions 524 to 776 of the family's 1533-position model. The record is from RNAcentral.